AGUGAGUGGCGAACGGGUGAGUAACACGUGGACAACCUGCCUCAAGGCUGGGGAUAACAUUUGGAAACAGAUGCUAAUACCGAAUAAAACUUAGUGUCGCAUGACAAAAAGUUAAAAGGCGCUUCGGCGUCACCUAGAGAUGGAUCCGCGGUGCAUUAGUUAGUUGGUGGGGUAAAGGCCUACCAAGACAAUGAUGCAUAGCCGAGUUGAGAGACUGAUCGGCCACAUUGGGACUGAGACACGGCCCAAACUCCUACGGGAGGCUGCAGUAGGGAAUCUUCCACAAUGGGCGAAAGCCUGAUGGAGCAACGCCGCGUGUGUGAUGAAGGCUUUCGGGUCGUAAAGCACUGUUGUAUGGGAAGAACAGCUAGAAUAGGAAAUGAUUUUAGUUUGACGGUACCAUACCAGAAAGGGACGGCUAAAUACGUGCCAGCAGCCGCGGUAAUACGUAUGUCCCGAGCGUUAUCCGGAUUUAUUGGGCGUAAAGCGAGCGCAGACGGUUUAUUAAGUCUGAUGUGAAAGCCCGGAGCUCAACUCCGGAAUGGCAUUGGAAACUGGUUAACUUGAGUGCAGUAGAGGUAAGUGGAACUCCAUGUGUAGCGGUGGAAUGCGUAGAUAUAUGGAAGAACACC
RNAcentral lists this ribosomal RNA (632 nucleotides) under Leuconostoc mesenteroides. RNAcentral's name for it is "bacterial SSU rRNA". It matches the Rfam family "Bacterial small subunit ribosomal RNA", at positions 90 to 710 of the family's 1533-position model. Lineage: Bacteria; Bacillati; Bacillota; Bacilli; Lactobacillales; Lactobacillaceae. The record is from RNAcentral.